CAAGAUAUGGCCAUUUUACGGUCACGGCUGACUGUUGCCUGAAGAAGAGGUAA
Kosakonia sacchari SP1 is the source of this 53-nucleotide non-coding RNA. The record is from Rfam. Lineage: Bacteria; Pseudomonadati; Pseudomonadota; Gammaproteobacteria; Enterobacterales; Enterobacteriaceae.